RNAcentral lists this long non-coding RNA (922 nucleotides) under Setaria viridis. Its description in RNAcentral is "long non-coding RNA (SVIR_LNC004851)". The record is from RNAcentral. Lineage: Eukaryota; Viridiplantae; Streptophyta; Magnoliopsida; Poales; Poaceae.
UCCAUCAUCAUGCACACACGGACUUAUUUAACAAGCACGACGACUACGCUGACGACGGAAGCUUCAUCAUCAUCAGUAGUGGCAGGCGUAGUUGGCCUUCUUGAACAUGGCGGCCUGCGCGGCGGCGGCGACCUCGGAGGUCAGCGCGACAGCGAUGCAGUCCUUGACCUGCUGCGUGGAGUAGGCGUACUUCUUGGCGGCGAUGGAGUUGAGGUACGCGGCGGCGCCCUCGCGGAGGAGGUCGCCGUAGCAGUCGGUGCGGGUGUUGCACAGCGCGUCCUGCAGCGUCUGCAGCUUGCUCCCGAAGAAGGCGCUGCACACGUCGCCGAAGGAGCCCAGGAUGCUCCCCAGCGACCCGAUGCACGAGAUGAUCGCGUCCGGGUGGCUCUUCCAGUAGCUGCAUGCAAAUAAUCUUUUAGUAACCGGCCGGGAAAUGUCUCGAUGCAUAUGCACUGCGGCUUAUAUUGCGUGCGGGUCUUAGCUUGCUUCUUACUCGCAGGUUCCGGUGCCGGAGUAGCCGGGCGUGUAGCCGCCACCGCCGCCUCCAUACCCACCGCCACCGCCACCGCCGCCGCCGCCGCCACCGUACCCACCGCCACCGCCUCCCCCGCCGUACCCGCCGCCGCCUCCUCCGUACCCACCGCCACCGUCUGUUCGGACGAGAAUGAUAGACACAGCAUGGCACAUGAUCAGCUCAUCAGCAGAUAACAAAUACGUGCACACGUUUGCUAGACUAAUAAUGUAGGCAGGUUACGGUACACAGCACGUACACUUCUGCUCAGCGACGUGAUUUCCCUGCAGGCCCCUGCUGGCAGAGCACCGAGAGGCGACGCCCACCAGGAGCACGGCGACAAGGAGAGCCUUGCCGCUCAUCUUGCUCUCUCUCUCUCUUCCUCUCUCCCCUCUUCUCCUGUGUUUCUGA